AUUGCCUCUUAUUCUGAUGUAUGCGUGAGAGGAUGAAUAAUUUAGUUGGUAUUUUAAGGCAUGUAUUGCAUGCUGCUAUGGAGCAAUGUUUUUGUUUAUAAGGGUUUAAAUUUUUGUCAUUGCAAGUCUUCAUUAAAGUACUAAUACAGUUAACUAAGGUUGUGUAUUUUGAAUGUGAUGAUUUUAAUUUGAAAUAAACUUUCCUCCCAAAUUUGUGAGUCAUGUGGUCAGUUAUUUGAAUCUGACAUUAUUAACCCAUUGGUCGCAGUUUUAAUAAAAUAUAUUUGCAAAAUAUAUUUGUCUGACACGGUGCCAUUCGCGUCUGUGACCGACUCUACCUUGGCAGAGUUGGUCGUAGACGUGGGUUAUGGUGCCAGUGUUUACAGGAACUUCUUAGACUGAAUUUUUACAGCUCUGCUGCUGGAUGGACUUACAUGGGCUAAGAGGGUGCAGGCCUGGGCCAUCUGAUGUUUGCUGAAGUCAGAGGGAUGGUGUGGCUAUGUUGUCAAAUCAAUGACGGGGUCUAACACCACAGAAAUUCCUCAUUUUCCUGAAUAACAAUCCAAUUCAAGAAGAUGCAACCAAGGAGGAUCUUAGGAAAGACAGGAUGGCAGCAACAAAGAGAAGAAAUCUCAUGGAGAGGGAAAGGAAGCUCAUAGAAAGGGAGACCAAGUGAAAUAUUUACAACAUAUAUAUAAGGAGGUACAAGAUUGGUUACAGUUGUUACAGCCUUCUCAACAUCGGACAUCUUCUUUAAAACUUCAGACUCUUCUGUAUAACCUGAGUCAUUCCCAUUUUCAUAACUGAAAACAUGUUUUAUCCUAGUCUCGGUGGUAAUAUUGCUCCUUACACUGGCAUUUAAAUAUUGAAGGGAUUUCUUUUCAUCUUAAAGAUAUGCAUGCAGUUUUGUAAACAGGUCAAGAGUAUUGACAUUUUUUGCUAUUCUGACCCAUUCACAUUUCUGAGUUGGAGUUAUGAAUUUCUCUUUUUGGCUUGUCAUAUUUACAGUCUUUAGUUCUGAAGAUAGAGCCAAUUGAUCAAGGUAAAGAAAACUCACCUUCUACUAAAGGUUUCAUUGUC
This 1080-nucleotide long non-coding RNA is filed under the name Penaeus japonicus. Its description in RNAcentral is "uncharacterized LOC122257441". The record is from RNAcentral. Lineage: Eukaryota; Metazoa; Arthropoda; Malacostraca; Decapoda; Penaeidae.